UACGAAGGGUGCGAGCGUUAAUCGGAAUUACUGGGCGUAAAGCGUGCGCAGGCGGUUUUGUAAGACAGGCGUGAAAUCCCCGGGCUCAACCUGGGAAUUGCGCUUGUGACUGCAAAGCUGGAGUGCGGCAGAGGGGGAUGGAAUUCCGCGUGUAGCAGUGAAAUGCGUAGAUAUGCGGAGGAACACCGAUGGCGAAGGCAAUCCCCUGGGCCUGCACUGACGCUCAUGCACGAAAGCGUGGGGAGCAAACAGG
This 253-nucleotide ribosomal RNA is filed under the name uncultured bacterium. Its description in RNAcentral is "partial 16S ribosomal RNA". It matches the Rfam family "Bacterial small subunit ribosomal RNA", at positions 524 to 776 of the family's 1533-position model. The record is from RNAcentral.